UAGCCGUAAGCGAUACUCGCUAGGUGUCGGCCACGGUGCGACCGUUGUCGGUGCCGUAGGGAAGCCGUGAAGCGAGCCACCUGGGAAGUACGGCCGCAAGGCUGAAACUUAAAGGAAUUGGCGGGGGAGCACCACAACGGGUGGAGCUUGCGGUUUAAUUGGAUUCAACGCCGGAAAUCUUACCGGGACCGACAGCAACAUGAAGGCCAGGCUGAAGACUUUGCCGGAUUAGCUGAGAGGAGGUGCAUGGCGUAGUCGUGU
RNAcentral lists this ribosomal RNA (261 nucleotides) under uncultured archaeon. RNAcentral's name for it is "partial 16S ribosomal RNA". It matches the Rfam family "Archaeal small subunit ribosomal RNA", at positions 748 to 1009 of the family's 1478-position model. The record is from RNAcentral.